GGUAAGAAGGAGGUGGAAUUGACUGGAAAGGGGCACAAGAGAACUCACUGGGAUGUUGAAAAGUUUUUGAAAUUGAUUUGGGUGGUUGUUUACAUGUGUGUAUGCAAUUGUCAAACCCCAGUGAACCACAAAGACGGGCGCGUUUCACAGUCUUCAAAUUAUGCCUCAAUUAAUCAGUUAGUGGACAGUGCUUGAGAUCAGCAGGAUAAAGCUCGUUUCUAUCCAAGCACACUUGCUGCAUCUUCACUCGUCCCUGACCAGAUCCCAGUGGCCCAGUGGACUCCCCUUUCCGGCACUGACAUGAGGGAGAAUAAGUUCUUGAAAACUGCUAAAUCAUCCUAGGUUGGUUUGAGUUACCAAAGUGGGCAGAAUAAAUGUUAUUUCUCCAAAAAAGUGGACUCAGAAUCAAGUGAUGUCUGGACAGCGUUCAUGGUCAUCUGCUGUCACAUGCGGUUACAUUUUGUAAUCCAGAUGUAUCCAUUUCUGAGAAGCAUUUCUAAGGUGUAUUUUCUAUCUCUCAAAAUGUACACAUUCAGCCCUUUCAUAAAAAUAUGAUUAAAGUUCAUUCUAAAAUUAUAACACUUAUGAGUCCAGAAUAGCACGAUACGGUAUGGUAUAUGCAAGGGUUUGGUAAACGACUGCCAUCGUCAAAUCUGGCCCUCCUCUUGUUUUUGUCCCUCUUGCUGGCUAAGAAUGGCUGUUACAUUUUUUAAAUAUUUGAAAAGACACUAAGUAGGAAGCAACACUUACAGCUGGCACCCUCAGUUCUCCUGUUCCUUAGAGCCAUGAAACCACGUGGCAAAGGAGGAGAAGAAGCAGAUGAAGAGGUGCAAGGAAGAAAAUCCGGCCUCAUUUCGGACAAAUGAAUAUGUCCAGAAUUGGAAAUUCACAUGCGGGAGAAUUAAGUGAUAAUUCUCACAAUGUGUUCACAAUAAGUGCUCACAGUAAGUGUUCAUUGAAUUUAAUAAAGUGCUUUCCCAGGAC
Molecule: long non-coding RNA, 984 nt
Filed under: Equus caballus (horse)
Lineage: Eukaryota; Metazoa; Chordata; Mammalia; Perissodactyla; Equidae
Description: lncRNA (ENSECAG00000045929.1)
Source: RNAcentral